UGAUGACUAUCUUUAGAGUGGUAUUUGAGUUGAUUUUUCUUAUUUGUUUGUGUAUCAAUUGUAGAUUUUUGGUUUGCAGUUAUUCUGAAGUUUUGAUAUGAGUCUAUAUGUAUAUGAGAUUGUUUUAAGUUGUUGUUCUCUUAAUUGCAAGUUCAUCUCCAGUGUCCUGCAUUUGUACCCACCUCUUCUCAUGAUUUCUGAUUUUGGUGGUAUAAUUGUGCAUGGAUGAUUUCGUAUCUUUACUGUAUAUAUACCUUUACUGGUGAGCCUUGUCAUUUGUGGAAUUUUUGUUUCCUGUUGCUGUCUUUUCUUUUCUGCCUAGAGAAGUUCCUUUAGUAUUUGUUGUAAGGCUGGUUUAGUGUUGCUGAAUUCUCUCAGCUUUUGCUUAUCUGUGAAGGUUUUGAUUUCUCCUUCAAAUCUGAAUGAGAGCCUUGCUGGGUAGAGUAAUCUUGGUUGGAGGUUUUUUCCUUUCAUCACGUUAAGUAUAUCAUGCCACUCCCUUCUGGCCUGCAGAGUUUCUGCUGAAAAAUCUGCCGAUAACCUUAUUGGGGUUCCCUUGUAUGUUACUUGUUUCUUUUCCCUAGCUGCUUUCAAGAUUUUCUCUUUGUCUUUAAUUUUGGUCAGUUUGAUUAAUAUGUGUCUCAGUGUAUUCCUUCUUGGGAUUAUUUUAUAUGGUACAUGUUGUGCUUCCUGGAUUUGAGUGAGUGGUUCCUUUCCCAUGUUAGGGAAGUUUUCAGCUAUUAUCUUUUGGAAUAUUUUUUCUGUUCCCUUCCUUCUCUCUUGUCCUUCUGGCAACCCUAUAAUAUGGAUGUUGGUGCAUUUAACAUUGUCCCAGAGUUCCGUGAGACUCUCUUCAAUUGUUUUCAAUCUUUUUUCUCUUUUCUGUUCUGCAUACGUAAUUUCUACUAAUCUGUCCUCCACCUUGCUUAUUCGUUCUUCUGUCUUCUGUAUUCUGCUGUUAGCUGCUUCUAGUGAAUUUUUUAUUUCAGGUAUUGUAUUUUUGCAUCUCUUCUUGUUUAAGUUUUAUGUCUUGUAUCUCUUUGGUCAUUGUUUCCUAUAAGUUAUCCAUCUUUGCCUCCAGUUUAUUUCCAAUGUCUUGCAUCAUCUUCAGCAUCAACAGUCUAUAAAGUCUUUUUCCUGGAUACUGAGAAUCUCCUCUUCACUUAGCUGUUUUUCUGGGGUUUUUCCUUUCUCCCUCAUCUGAGUUAUAGUUCUCUGUCUUUUCAUUUGUAUAGGUUUUUGGUGUGGUGACCUUUUUAUAGAUAAUAGAGUUGUAGCCUCUCUUACUUCUGGUGUCUGCCCCCCUUGCGGCAGAAGUUGGUAUGGGGGCUUGCUGUAGGCUUCCUGAUGGGAGGGACUGAUGCCUGCCCCCUGGUAGGUGGAGCUAAUUCUAAUCCCUCUGGUGGGUGGGGCUUAGUAUCUGGAUGGGAUUAGAGGCAGCUGUGUGCCUGAAGGGUCUUUAGGCAGCCU
This 1470-nucleotide long non-coding RNA is filed under the name Sus scrofa (pig). RNAcentral describes it as "lncRNA (ENSSSCG00040000630.1)". The record is from RNAcentral. Lineage: Eukaryota; Metazoa; Chordata; Mammalia; Artiodactyla; Suidae.